CACUCCUGCGGGAGGCAGCAGUGGGGAAUUUUGGACAAUGGGGGCAACCCUGAUCCAGCAAUGCCGCGUGAGUGAAGAAGGCCUUCGGGUUGUAAAGCUCUUUUGUCAGGGAAGAAACGGUAGUAGCGAAUAACUAUUACUAAUGACGGUACCUGAAGAAUAAGCACCGGCUAACUACGUGCCAGCAGCCGCGGUAAUACGUAGGGUGCAAGCGUUAAUCGGAAUUACUGGGCGUAAAGCGUGCGCAGGCGGUUGUGUAAGUCAGAUGUGAAAUCCCCGGGCUCAACCUGGGAAUUGCAUUUGAGACUGCACGGCUAGAGUGUGUCAGAGGGGGGUAGAAUUCCACGUGUAGCAGUGAAAUGCGUAGAUAUGUGGAGGAAUACCGAUGGCGAAGGCAGCCCCCUGGGAUAACACUGACGCUCAUGCACGAAAGCGUGGGGAGCAAACAGGAUUAGAAACCCGUGUAGUCCCAUG
This 474-nucleotide ribosomal RNA is filed under the name uncultured organism. RNAcentral's name for it is "partial 16S ribosomal RNA". It matches the Rfam family "Bacterial small subunit ribosomal RNA", at positions 334 to 799 of the family's 1533-position model. The record is from RNAcentral.